Molecule: non-coding RNA, 5149 nt
Organism: Oncorhynchus mykiss (rainbow trout)
Lineage: Eukaryota; Metazoa; Chordata; Actinopteri; Salmoniformes; Salmonidae
Source: RefSeq, a predicted model, not a curated record
AUGAGGAGCUUGAGUCGGUGCGAGCUGAGAGCGAGCGUCUCCUGUCUGAGAAGACAGACAGCCCUCAGAAUCAUGCAGAGGAGUUGGAGACGCUGCUCUCCACUGUAACAUCACUGACUGAAGAGAGAGACCAGCUCCAGGAGAUUCUGGGUGGAGUCAAGAGAGGAGAGGAACCAGCUCAAGCGAGAACUGGAGGAGAAUGUGGAGAUGUCUUUGAACCAGUCCAUCAAAGUCGAGGAGGAGCUGAAACAGCAGCAACAUCUCAACUCUGAGCAGCAGGCUGAGACAGAACAACAAACAACUCAACUUCAGCAACAAAUACAGUAGCUAGAGGAGGAACACGCACACAUGAAAGAUGAGAGAGCCCAGCUUCAGAGAUCUUCUGGAAAAUAUGGACAUGGUCAUACAGGUCCAGAGGACAUUAGAACAGCAGCAACAUCUGAACACAGAACAGCAGGCUGAGAGAGAACAACAAGAGGCCCUACUUAAACAACAAGUCCAGCUUCUUGAAGAGCAGUUGAAGACGGUGAAAGAUGAUAGGAGCCAGGUGAAUAGCAACAUUCAGGACAGUAUGGACAUGAUGCUCAGUGAUGCAAAUGCAACCAUCUCCAUAUUGACAGAACAGUUCAAUAACAUGGAGCGCGAAGUGUUUUACCACUAGCGAAGCAGAGGGAAUUUGCUCCAGAUGUAUGCCAGGCUAAUCCUUGUAUGCCAAGGAUUACAAAACACACUUUGAAGCCCUGGUCCUGAAUGACUUGGCUGUAUUUGAGGAGAAGAGACUGCAGCACCUGCUCAUCUGUAGAGCCUAGGCACCCAGUCACUCAGUCAAGGUGGCUGAGAACAAAUUUCUUGGAGUCUGGGACCAGAAGCUGAGCUGCUGGACAAGAGUCGAUUACCUCCAGCUUAAGGAGUGCCUGUCCACUCACUCAGCAGUGGUGUCAGAGGAGCUGAGGGUGUGAGAGAGGAGCAAUGAGGAGGCUGAGUGCUCUAUGCAUGGUCCACUCACCUGGCUCGUCAGCUGUGGAGAGCUUCCUGGCUCGUCAGCUGUGGAGAGCUUCCCGCGGCAGAGCUGGCCCGGCGCUCUGCCGUGGCACAGGCCAACACACGGGCUCUCCAGGAAUUGUGAGAUGAGCACCGUGGUCUGCUGAAAGAGCUAGGUGUGGUCCGAGCACAGGCUGACAGUCAGCUGAAAGAAGAGCGGAGUAAGACCUUUACUCUACUGCAGAUACUGGAGAAUGACCCAGUCAAGACUGAAGCUGACCAGCUGAGGGACAACCAGCAUCUUGCCAUGUAAUGUCAGCAGUUGGAGGGAGAAAUCAAGGAAAUGCAAAUGAGAGUUGAGCACCAGAUUAAAGCUGCUAAUAGGGUCUCAAACCACAAACAAGCCACCCAGCUCCUACGAACUGAGCUUCAGGAUGCUUGUGCACAAGUCAAGGAUAGGGAGGGCUCUAUCCAAAUCCUCAAAGAGAGACUGACGUAGGAGUUGGAACAAGGUUCUGGCCAAGAGAAGAGCAUCGCCUAGUGUCUUGAGCUUGAAAAGCUGAAUGCUAAAGUUGUGAAGAUGGAGAUGACUUCAUUGUCCUCUAAACACCAAGAAGAGUUACUGAGGAUGACCACGCUCCUGAACCACAAGGAGGACGCUCUGAGGACGCUGAAGGAGACUCUGAGAAGAUCACAGCAGGAGGGAGAACAGUUAUUCAUGGGGGGAGAGGAUCUGCAUGCCAGACUGACAACCACCAGAGGACGUACGGUCCAAAGCAACAUUCUCCUUGAAAAGAACAAACUUGAGGAAGUGAAACGGCUACAAAAGAGAAUUUCUGAAUUGCCGUGUUUCCACUCAGCAAGGAGAUAUUUUCAAGUGGAAGGCUUGAGCAGUUAAGCUGAAGGAGAGGAGGGACGUGGUUGAAACGCCUCCAUCUGCAUGUACUCAUACAAAACGACGCCUUCCCAUGACUUCUGAGGACCUCAACUCUCCCAAGAAGUUCCUCGACUCGCCCAAGAGAAAGUUCUUUGAUGUCCGUCCAGGCUCUGAAUGUCAAUUAACUGUCCCAAUCAGUUUUUUGAUAACUCCAACCUUGGAACCGUUCAAGAUGCAACUGUGGAUUAAAAAGGAGGAAUGGUGGCCUGUCACCAAAGCAAGCUGAUCUAUGCAAACAGCAGUAAAUGAUUUACCUAAAUUGCACUUAUCAUUCAUUGUUUAUCUAUUUUUCAAUAUUCAAAGUGUUUGUUUUCAUAUUGUAUUUGAUAGCCUUAUAUUUUAAAAUAAAGAGCAGUUUAUUUUAAUAAGACUCAACUUUACCUGCUCUCUAUGUAAUAGGACUUUCAGUUGUUCUGACAGCAGAUGGCAUGCUUACACCAUUUAGUUUGAGAAUGUUUUAUUUUGACAAUGAUGGAGGAUUUUAAACUUGGUGUCUAUGCAAAGUGGUCUUGAUGUUCAGUUUCUCCCAUUAAUAAUUUUCAGACUAAUGCUUUUACAUUUUUAACUGUAGAUUGCCGUUUUUGAGGAUAUUGUACAUUCAUGGCUCCAUUGGAAGUGCUUCCUAAUUUCAGAGUUUGGAGUUGUCUAAAGGGAUAUCUGUUACAUUUUUGAAGAUGGAACAUCACUAGGGUAAUUUAGCUAUAUGGCAGAAUUAAACUCAGAAUUAUUCUAAAUAACUGUAUUUGCCUGUAUGUUGUGCAGGUAAACAGGAGGCCUGACUCGGUCCACUUAGACUUGGGUCUCAGUAGCUGCCCCACAGCUACAUUCUCUUGGUCGCUUCCUCUGCAUGGCUUCACAUUUCAUUUAAGAGGGUGCAGAAACCACAUUCUUCCUGUUCUCUCUGUUGGGAUUACUGUAAGAAUGGUACUAAGCCUUCAGAAGGAGUACUGGCACCAUGGUAAAUAACCUUUAGAGUUCUGUAGCACAUCAUCAAAGGUAAUUUGAUCACAGGUUCCCAAAUGGAAGGGAAUUAAGUGAUGUUUUCUGACUGCCUGACAAAGUAAAGAAGACAGAUCUUAAGAUACACGGAAUGCAUUACUUAAUUUGUACUCCAAGACAUUCCAGUGACUGAGCCCUGCAUACUUAUCAUGCAGUAGUUUUCUGUAACCUAAUGACUGCACCAGCUAAAAAGACACGACCGAUUGGGUAUGAAAGUGCCACAAGACUGGUAGACUUCUGAGCUGAAGUCUCUGCAUUAUCUUUGAGAGUUAACAGGUUCAGGCAAGAUUAUUCAGUACACAUGUGCUCCAAAAGUUAUUUUCAUUAAACAUUGUGAUGCCAUCGAGGCUGAAAUACUUUAUUUACCAAAACCUCUAGCCGGAGAGGAGUAGUGGUUUUCAUUAUUUCACAAAUAUCAACAUACAGUAACUGUCAAAUCUGGAAAUGGAAGAGCUGAAGUCUGCACUCAGAUUAUCAACAAAAUACACUUUCCCCAAGCUUCUCUUGGACACCUAACUCAUUAAUAGUAUUAUUAAGACUUGGUAUCUUUUGAUACUUUUGUUCCAAGGAUAUCACAAUAUUGAUGGUAAAUAGGUUUGCCAGUUUUCUACAGGGCUUUUCUUAUGUAGGCAAUACAAGAAGAAGAUGGAACACAAUUGGUCAGAAAAAGAACAAAGUCCUUGUGAAGAAGUUCAAGAAUAAAGGGAGACCUUCUUAAAAGGGAAUUACAGUCUCAAUACUGAACCAGUCAUUCCUCAAGCACAAGUUGUCGGAGUAGCCCUCAUUGCAAUUAAAGUAAGCAAAAGUGUCAAAGUUUGAACCUCUCCCGGCAGCCCACCUAAUUGCUGAGGUGGCUUGUUUCAUCUAAUAGUAUUAUUUGUAUAUUUCCAUAAUGUGUUACAGUGGGAAUCAUCCAGGACAGGUCUUUCCCUUGUUCAAUUAUUCAGGGCUCAGUCACAGACAGUCAUUAAAGUUUCAUGGGAGGCAAUUUGGAGGCAGUGCUGGUUGCUUUAGAAAACAAAAAGCCCUCUCUGCCUUUGGAAGUGCAUGUUGUGAACUUGUGACAGAGGUAAAAUGAAAUUCAUAAUUACAUUUGUGGACUAUUAUUGACCCAGAAACUAAAAGGUGGAAUUGUAUGGUGACCAAAUGUAUUUGAUUAGGUAUGUCACUCAAAGUUCUUCUCAAAUAUAGCAAGUUUUUUAAGUUAACUAAUUUGCUGUAUGAGACUGAGGAACACAUCCACAAAAUAGUCAGGAGUUCUCAAGACAACAUUUAAUACUGAUGCACACAAAUAGAUGCUCCAAAAAGUUUGUUUCCUUAUAAUUGUCAGAUUUAGAAAUGUAUUCUUGCCAGUGCUUAAAAACUAAGAGGUAACAUGCACACUUAGAAAUAACACUUGUUUUGGGAAAUACUAAUAUUACAAACAUAUUACUUUGAUCAUUCUGCAUGCCUUGAAUCCUCUUAACAGCAAAAUCACAUGCCCACAUAAAUAUCCUUGAGUAGAAAAUGGGUCAUGUAAGAUUUUUUUAGGGAGGUAAUUAAAACUUUGAGUGUAUGUGGCUUGACAUGGGAUAAUACAUACACAACAGCAGCUUACUGUAAUACUUUGCUGGUAAAGAUUAGGUUGGAAAAUAUCUGAAUCUUCUAAAUAAAAAUUUGUUUUUAGAGAUUACAAAUAUUUUACAAAUAAAACGCAGUGCUCUAAAUUGCUGACAGAAAUCUUACCGAGAUGGGAAAGGAAGUAAAAAUGACAUUCUUUCUCAAUCAAGGACAGUUAAGUUGUUCAGUAGAAUUGCAACAGCAAUAUUCAAACAUGCACAGGCCAGGGACAGUGCAUGACAGGCAGUCCUGGGCAGGCCAGUUUCUCUCAUGAAUUCACUGUUAAAGAUGUUUGAAAAUGUUUUGUAGGAGGACCAUCAUACUACAUUUUCUUCUCUAUUAAAGUCUGAAUAAAAGUCAAGUCUGAAUAUGUUUAUUCACAUUUACUCCUACAAUAGGUCUUGAUAUUGUUCCUUUAAGGCAUGUUUUCACGUCAGUGGCUAUUUUAAGGAUUUUAGGCUUGCUCUAUUCUUAGCGCCAACUCACACUGGUAGCAUGACUACUUGCAGUGUUUUAAUUUCCAAUUGUCAGGGUAUAAAUAUUCCAUUUGCUCUGGGCUCCAUUCCCAGAAUAAGAUGUGAAUACAUGAGCUGAAUUAGACUUUUUAAAACCCUGUUUACCAAAAUAAACUAA